CCUACGGGAGGCAGCAGUGGGGAAUUUUGGACAAUGGGCGAAAGCCUGAUCCAGCAAUGCCGCGUGUGGGAAGAAGGCCUUCGGGUUGUAAACCACUUUUGUACGGAACGAAACGGUUCGCUUUAAUACAGUGGGCUAAUGACGGUACCGUAAGAAUAAGCACCGGCUAACUACGUGCCAGCAGCCGCGGUAAUACGUAGGGUGCGAGCGUUAAUCGGAAUUACUGGGCGUAAAGCGUGCGCAGGCGGUCAUAUAAGACAGUUGUGAAAUCCCCGGGCUCAACCUGGGAAUUGCAUCUGUGACUGUAUAGCUAGAGUACGGUAGAGGGGGAUGGAAUUCCGCGUGUAGCAGUGAAAUGCGUAGAUAUGCGGAGGAACACCGAUGGCGAAGGCAAUCCCCUGGACCUGUACUGACGCUCAUGCACGAAAGCGUGGGGAGCAAACAGGAUUAGAUACCCUGGUAGUCCACGCCCUAAACCGAUGUCAACUGGUUGUUGGGUGNNUAGUACUCAGUACGAAGACACGCGUGAGUGACGCGNGGAGAGGCGCGAAGUAGUAGUUACAAGUAGUUAGUUAGNGNGNGNGNGCGACGACGACGACGACGGAGGAGGAGG
This 613-nucleotide ribosomal RNA is filed under the name uncultured bacterium. RNAcentral's name for it is "bacterial SSU rRNA". The stretch from base 1 to 539 matches the Rfam family "Bacterial small subunit ribosomal RNA", at positions 338 to 873 of the family's 1533-position model. The record is from RNAcentral.